RNAcentral lists this ribosomal RNA (253 nucleotides) under uncultured microorganism. Its description in RNAcentral is "partial 16S ribosomal RNA". It matches the Rfam family "Bacterial small subunit ribosomal RNA", at positions 524 to 776 of the family's 1533-position model. The record is from RNAcentral.
UACGGAGGGGGCGAGCGUUGUUCGGAGUCACUGGGCGUAAAGCGCACGUAGGCGGUGCGGUAAGUCCGGGGUCAAAGGCUACGGCUCAACCGUAGUAAGGCCUCAGAUACUAUCGUGCUAGAGUGCCGGAGAGGGUAGCGGAAUUCCCUGUGUAGCGGUGAAAUGCGUAGAUAUAGGGAGGAACACCGGUUGCGAAGGCGGCUACCUGGCCGGUAACUGACGCUGAGGUGCGAGAGCGUGGGGAGCAAACAGG